ACUUUCUGGUCUGUAGCUGACGCUGAGGCGCGGAGGCGUGGGGAGCAGACAAGAUUAUAUACCCUGGUACUCCACGCCGUAAACGAUGAGUGCUAAGUGUUACAGGGCUUUCCGCCCUUUAGUGCUGAAGUUAACGCAUUCCGCACUCCGCCUGGGGAGCACGGCCGCAAGGCUGACACUCAAAGGAAUUCCCGGGGGCCCGCACAAGCGGUGGAUCAUGUGGUUUAAUUCGAAGCAACGCGAAGAACCUUAC
This 253-nucleotide ribosomal RNA is filed under the name Bacillus cereus. RNAcentral's name for it is "partial 16S ribosomal RNA". It matches the Rfam family "Bacterial small subunit ribosomal RNA", at positions 724 to 974 of the family's 1533-position model. Lineage: Bacteria; Bacillati; Bacillota; Bacilli; Caryophanales; Bacillaceae. The record is from RNAcentral.